GCAUUAUCCCAAUUGGUUACCCAAUCUCGGAUUAGGCUGAGCAUAGGUCACAAUAUUUUUUGCACUAAUUAAAAUUUUAUGAUGGUCAAAUUCCCCGGGCAGCAAAUUAGUGAGUGGUAGGAAUAGAGGAAGUGGGCUGUGAAGGAGACGGUGAUGGGAAAAAUCCUUGCUUUGGUUGUUUAGGUCUCGUUGACCGGGAUAGCUAUAAUUGGGCCUACUGUAAUCUGUCCUUGUUAAGCCGCAGCAUUAUUUAGUUGAAAUUCACUCAUCAAGUAGGGCCUCUUCUUUGGAGUCAUGCUUUAAAUAAGCACCAGUCGUGGGUCUGCUGUCAGCCAUGCACUAGUUAUUUUUUUUUUUUUGUUCAAAAUGGUAUUCCAUUUCAUAUACCUCUAACGUGAGUACAGUCAGACAUAUCAAAAGAAAGUAAACAAAAUAAAAAGUGUGGGAUGCAAUCUAAGCUAGUCUAGAGAACCUCCCUAGUGUACCGGGUAAUAUAGGAAGCAACCCAGUCUGCUGCACUGUUAUUUUCAGUUAACUUUCUUAAUAAAAAACAUCAUAUUUCAUGAGAUGUUAUUUG
Molecule: long non-coding RNA, 577 nt
Filed under: Phoenix dactylifera (date palm)
Lineage: Eukaryota; Viridiplantae; Streptophyta; Magnoliopsida; Arecales; Arecaceae
Description: long non-coding RNA (PDAC_LNC018948)
Source: RNAcentral